UGCUUCUUCCUGCUAAGAAUGAAGCACAUAUUAUCUAGGUGACACUCUAGAGAUGAACUCUUCUCCAGGCUUCGUGACUGUGGUACUCUUGAUGCUUGGACGAACCCAUGGAGAUGGAGACUCAGUGACCCAGAUGCAAGGCCCAGUGACCAUUCCUGAAAGGAAGUCCUUGACUAUAAACUGUACUUAUUCAACAACAUGGACCCCCACUCUGUUCUGGUAUGUCCAAUAUCCCAGAGAAAGUCCACAGCUCCUCCUGAAAGCCUUGAGGGACAAGGAGAUGGGAAGUCACAAAGGUUUUGAAGCCACCUACGACAGCAAAUCCAAAUCCUUCCACUUGGAGAAGUCCUCAGUGCAAGCGUCAGAUUCGGCUGUGUACUACUGUGCCCUGAGUGACACAGUGACAGGGACUGCAGGGGGAGCUGAGCACAAACUCUGAGCAGAACAGGAGCCCAGAUG
Molecule: non-coding RNA, 459 nt
Organism: Panthera uncia (snow leopard)
Lineage: Eukaryota; Metazoa; Chordata; Mammalia; Carnivora; Felidae
Source: the annotation of a RefSeq genome assembly